GGGCCGCUCGUGAUCAAAAUGGAAAAUAUUUUAGAACACAACAACACCUAAAAAAACGUACGUAGUCAACGAAAAACAUCAAAACUGAGGAACAGUAUUCUCCAAGAGCACAAAUUUGUGAAACCCUAAAUGGAAUCUGAGGGAAAUGAAGCCUCUCAUCUAUGCGCAAAGAGGAACAAACCCACUAACCAUUCCCAGUUUCCAUCAAGUUCAAUGCAAGAUUUGAGCUUAAAAAUCUGUAUUUUGCCAACAGAACUCAUCACUGAAAUACUCUUAAGGCUUCCAGUAAAAUCACUCUUGAAAUUCAGGUGUGUUUCAAAAUCUUGGCUUGCUUUAAUCUCUAGCCCUCAAUUUGUCAACACCCAUCUCAGUAUAUGUGCUAAUAACAAGGACAACACCCACCAGAGGCUUAUUGUGACGGUUAAUCGACAUAAGUACAAUCUUAAGGACAUUUCUGUUAGUUCUUUACUUUAUGAUUCAGUUACUGAGGCAUUGGACUUGGACUAUCCUACGAGAAACACCCAUAAAUGUAUUAGUAUUGUGGGUUCUAUCAAUGGGUUGAUCUGUCUUUCCGUUGGAGAAGCAAACUUUUUUAUCUGGAAUCCAUUAGUUAGGAAGUUCAAGGAAUUGUCUGAUUGUAGAGAUGCAUUUUGUUUUGGUUACCCUUGCAUUUAUGGUUUUGGAUAUGAUGAGCGUCAUGAUGAUUAUAAGGUAGUGGUAGGGUUGGCUAAUAAGCGUUAUGACCGUUCUUUUCUUGUUAAGGUUAAAAUGUAUAGUCUAACUAGUGAUUCUUGGACAAGUAUAGAAGAUUUUCGUAGUGAUUGGUUUGCCAUUAGGUCGGCUAUGUUUGUGAAUGGGAAACUUCAUUGGACUAUAUGUACUUAUUGUCAUCCUUGUGAUUCUUGGGACAUCAUUUCUAUUGAUUUGGCUGAUAGGAAAUGGGGAAAAGUGGAGCAACCUUCCUAUGAAGAAGGAGAUAUUUAUUCGACGCUGGGAGUUUUGGGUACUGAUCUUUCCGUGUGUUAUAAUUAUCUUGGAAUUCGCGCCGAUGUGUGGGUUAUGAAGGAGUAUGGGGUUAAAAAAUCUUGGAUAAAGAUGUUUACCAUCUGUCAUCCAUUUGAACCGCUGGCUUUUGAGUUCUAUACAUUCUUUUGCAUGUCAAAUAAAGGUAAAGUUUUGUUUGUGUGUGGACCAAAUGUCAGGAUUUACAAUCCAAAGGAUGACUCAAUCUUAUGUUCAAAGAUUACCAGCUAUAACACCUUUUAUGAGGCAAACAUUUACAUUGAAAGCCUAGUGUGGCCCUUUAUUAGGAAGGAACCAAUGAUGCACAUGGAGGAGAUUGAAAAAGCUCAGAUGAAGACGAUCUUGUAAUUAAUAAUCACUAAUUGAGGAAGCAAGAGAGAAAUGCAGCAGGCCGAGGAACUUAUUGGUCUGCAACGUAUGUUAGAUUACUGGAGCUAUAUGGGUUAAGAAGUGAAUGCUGAUUCUAGGAACAAACUAAUUUACUACUUGUUGUCUGCAUGGAUUUCAAUGAAGAAGAAGGAUGACUUUUCUCUGUUUUUGCUGUUUCUUUUUUUGGUAGGUUACAAAAUGUGUGUACAGGGAAGAGUUGGCGUAGUUAGCACGCCAUGAUUUUACUGUUCAUUUGUGAUGUACUUGUGUUAUUUUCUUGAGCACAGAGCAAGACUUACAUACGCUA
Molecule: RNA transcript, 1699 nt
Organism: Lycium barbarum (goji berry)
Lineage: Eukaryota; Viridiplantae; Streptophyta; Magnoliopsida; Solanales; Solanaceae
Gene name: F-box/kelch-repeat protein At3g23880-like
Exons: 3
Source: RefSeq, a predicted model, not a curated record